This 460-nucleotide ribosomal RNA is filed under the name uncultured bacterium. Its description in RNAcentral is "partial 16S ribosomal RNA". It matches the Rfam family "Bacterial small subunit ribosomal RNA", at positions 338 to 795 of the family's 1533-position model. The record is from RNAcentral.
CCUACGGGUGGCAGCAGUGAGGAAUAUUGGUCAAUGGACGAGAGUCUGCACCAGCCACGUAGCGUGAAGGAUUACUGCCCUAUGGGUUGUAAACUUCUUUUAUAUGGGAAUAAAAUGUUCCACGUGUGGGAUUUUGUAUGUACCAUAUGAAUAAGGAUCGGCUAACUCCGUGCAAGCAGCCGCGGUAAUACGGAGGAUCCGAGCGUUAUCCGGAUUUAUUGGGUGUAAAGGGAGCGUAGGUGGAUUGUUAAGUCAGUUGUGAAAGUGUGCGGCUCAACCGUAAAAUUGCAGUUGAAACUGGCAGUCUUGAGUACAGUAGAGGUGAGCGGAAUUCGUGGUGUAGCGGUGAAAUGCGUAGAUAUCACGAAGAACUCCGAUGGCGAAGGCAGCUCACUGGACUGCAACUGACACUGAGGCUCGAAAGUGUGGGUAUCAAACAGGAUUAGAUACCCGUGUAGUC